RNAcentral lists this ribosomal RNA (503 nucleotides) under uncultured bacterium. RNAcentral describes it as "partial 16S ribosomal RNA". It matches the Rfam family "Bacterial small subunit ribosomal RNA", at positions 355 to 869 of the family's 1533-position model. The record is from RNAcentral.
UGGGGAAUAUUGCACAAUGGGCGCAAGCCUGAUGCAGCAACGCCGCGUGAGGGACGACGGCCUUCGGGUUGUAAACCUCUUUUAGUAGGGAAGAAGCGAAAGUGACGGUACCUGCAGAAAAAGCACCGGCUAACUACGUGCCAGCAGCCGCGGUAAUACGUAGGGUGCGAGCGUUGUCCGGAAUUAUUGGGCGUAAAGAGCUCGUAGGCGGUCUGUCGCGUCUGCUGUGAAAACCCGAGGCUCAACCUCGGGCCUGCAGUGGGUACGGGCAGACUAGAGUGCGGUAGGGGAGAAUGGAAUUCCUGGUGUAGCGGUGGAAUGCAGCGAUACAGGAGGAACACCGAUGGCGAAGGCAGUUCUCUGGGCCGUAACUGACGCUGAGGAGCGAAAGCGUGGGGAGCGAACAGGAUUAGAUACCCUGGUAGUCCACGCCGUAAACGUUGGGCGCUAGAUGUGGGGACCAUUCCACGGUUUCCGUGUCGCAGCUAACGCAUUAAGCGCCC